GGGUGAGUAACACGUGGGUAACCUGCCUCAAAGUGGGGGAUAGCCUUCCGAAAGGAAGAUUAAUACCGCAUAACAUAAGAGAAUCGCAUGAUUUUCUUAUCAAAGAUUUAUUGCUUUGAGAUGGACCCGCGGCGCAUUAGCUAGUUGGUAAGGUAACGGCUUACCAAGGCAACGAUGCGUAGCCGACCUGAGAGGGUGAUCGGCCACAUUGGAACUGAGACACGGUCCAGACUCCUACGGGAGGCAGCAGUGGGGAAUAUUGCGCAAUGGGGGAAACCCUGACGCAGCAACGCCGCGUGGGUGAUGAAGGUCUUCGGA
Molecule: ribosomal RNA, 318 nt
Filed under: Clostridium botulinum
Lineage: Bacteria; Bacillati; Bacillota; Clostridia; Eubacteriales; Clostridiaceae
Also listed under: 1 other name
Description: bacterial SSU rRNA
Rfam family: Bacterial small subunit ribosomal RNA
Source: RNAcentral